Non-coding RNA from Phascolarctos cinereus (koala), 1134 nucleotides. NCBI's taxonomy places the organism in Eukaryota, Metazoa, Chordata, Mammalia, Diprotodontia, Phascolarctidae. The record is from RefSeq and is a predicted model, not a curated record.
CUCGCCGUCCCGGGAGAGAGGGAGCAGCGGCCGCUGGAGCGGAGCCGGAGCAGCCCCGUCACCGUCACCGCCGCCACGGGGGCACGGUCCUCCCCUCAGCCUCACGGUGGCGGUGCGGACACCAUGGCGGGGAAGGGAGGGGGCGGCCUGCGCGCCUCCGGGCCUCCCUCGCCCGCCCCUCCCUCCGCGCUGCGGGGAGCCGAGGGCGGCUGCUGGGGGUAGGGGGCGGCCUCGGCCCGAGGGGCUUGGCCCCGCCCCCCGCGCUUCCUGCAGGUGGAGGUGGCCUAGGGAACCGAUCCGAGUCCUGGCUGACCUUGGGCAUGUAGCUUACCCCUCUCUGGGCCUCAGUUUCUUCAUCUGUAGAAUGAACAGAGCCAUGCUGACUGGGUCCACUGCAAAUUUAUGUUACUUAAUCUCUACUGGGUCUUCAUUGAAGCAAGCAAAAGACUGGAAACAAAUUAGAUGCUCAUUGAUUGAGGAAUAGCAAAACAAACUGUGCUACAUGAAUGCAAUGGAAUAUUACUGCACUGUAAGAAAUGACAAAUGUGAUGACUACAAAGAAGUAAUGAAAGAUCUACUUGAAUUGAUGCAGAGUGAAGUAAGCAGAGCCAAGAAAACAAUUUACAUAGAGAACAGCCACAAGAAAAAAAAUCUUAAGUGCUGCAAAAUUAGAACAGGCAUGGUUUGAAAGAAUAAAUGAGACGCUGCUACUGACAGGGUACAGGCACAAGCCUAGACUUUUGCCUCUUACCUCAAAAAGAAUGCGGGUCCCAUUUGUCUACAAGCCCUAGAAAAACACCACCUUGGACUCUCCUUGAACUCCCACUUGAUCAAGGGAGUCUCUAGAGUUCCCAAUGAGGCAUCAUCCCAGUAAUCCUCUCAACUGUCCUUUCAUUGUGACUACACCCAAUCACCUAAUUCUCUGUUACCCUAAAUUUAGCCCAGCCCUUCAUUGUCUGUUACCUCCCAAUGGCCCAGGGCUACUUUCCCACCCUUGAUUCUAUCUAGACCUCCCAGUCACUCCCAUCAAGAUCCUCCCUAGACCCCUUCUCCCAGACCCCCUUCUCUAGUCAUCCCAAAAUACUUGGCCACUCCUAGAGUCCUCCCACACAGUCUUUCUGUAUAUAAUGUCUA